This 2311-nucleotide small RNA is filed under the name Pongo abelii (Sumatran orangutan). Its description in RNAcentral is "retained intron". The record is from RNAcentral. Lineage: Eukaryota; Metazoa; Chordata; Mammalia; Primates; Hominidae.
GCUUUUCUCCGGAGGUCGCGCGCCUGAGAGCCCGCGCUGUCUGCCGCCGCUGCCUGAGUCGACUCUGCGCCGCCCGCCGCGAUGGAGGCCGCCGCCCAGUUCUUCGUCGAGAGCCCGGACGUGGUCUACGGCCCCGAGGCCAUCGAGGCGCAAUACGAGUACCGGACGACGCGCGUCAGCCGCGAGGGUGGCGUUCUCAAGGUGCACCCCACGUCCACGCGCUUCACCUUCCGGACCGCCCGGCAGGUGCCCCGGCUCGGGGUCAUGCUUGUCGGCUGGGGCGGGAACAACGGCUCCACACUCACCGCCGCGGUGCUGGCCAACCGACUGCGUCUGUCCUGGCCCACGCGCAGCGGCCGCAAGGAGGCCAACUACUACGGCUCGCUGACUCAGGCGGGCACCGUGAGCCUGGGCCUGGACGCCGAGGGCCAGGAGGUGUUCGUGCCCUUCAGCGCGCUGCUGCCCAUGGUGGCGCCCAACGACCUCGUGUUCGAUGGUGGGCGGAGCCCUGGGCCGGGGUGGGGCGGGUUGGGAGAUGGGGUCUGGAGGGGCCCAGGAUCCGGGCAGGGCCGAGUGUGAGGGUCCCCCCAGGCUGGGACAUCUCGUCGCUGAACCUGGCCGAGGCGAUGCGGCGCGCGAAGGUGCUGGAUUGGGGGCUGCAGGAGCAACUGUGGCCGCACAUGGAGGCCCUGCGACCCCGGCCUUCUGUUUACAUCCCCGAAUUCAUCGCGGCCAACCAGAGCGCGCGCGCGGACAACCUCAUCCCAGGCUCGCGUGCGCAGCAGGUGCUGUCCCAUCCCGCAUCCCUUGCUCCCUGCCACCUGUUCUUCGCCACUCGGUUCCCCCUUUUUGCCCCACCCCGCGAAUCCAGGCCUCACUUGACACCCGGGGAACUGAGUCCGGCCUCUGUGAGUCCGAGAGCAUGUACAACCAACUUCCCUACAUCCUCUCCAUCCUCCCCACACCCUCUCCAUCCAACCCACAGCUGGAGCAGAUCCGCAGGGACAUCCGAGACUUCCGGUCUAGCGCAGGGCUGGACAAAGUCAUCGUGCUGUGGACGGCAAACACGGAGCGCUUCUGUGAGGUGAUUCCAGGCCUCAACGACACAGCCGAGAACCUGCUGCGCACCAUUGAGCUUGGUCUGGAGGUGUCGCCCUCCACGCUCUUCGCCGUGGCCAGCAUCCUGGAGGGCUGUGCCUUCCUCAAUGGGUCCCCACAGAACACCCUGGUGCCCGGAGCCCUUGAGCUCGCGUGGCAGCGCCGGGUUUUUGUGGGCGGAGAUGACUUCAAGUCAGGCCAGACCAAAGUCAAGUCCGUGCUCGUGGACUUCCUCAUUGGCUCCGGCCUCAAGACCAUGUCCAUCGUGAGUUACAACCACCUGGGCAACAACGAUGGGGAGAACCUGUCGGCGCCAUUGCAGUUCCGCUCUAAGGAGGUGUCCAAGAGCAACGUGGUGGACGACAUGGUGCAGAGCAACCCAGUGCUCUAUACGCCCGGCGAGGAGCCUGACCACUGCGUGCGUGGGGCGCGGUCGCGGGCGCGGGGUUGCCCGGCGAGGGGUGGCAGGGACUCGGGCAAACUCCUGCUGCACUCCAGGUGGUCAUCAAGUAUGUGCCGUACGUGGGUGACAGCAAGCGCGCGCUGGAUGAGUAUACCUCGGAGCUGAUGCUGGGCGGAACCAACACACUGGUGCUGCACAACACAUGCGAGGUGCGGCGCGGCUUCAGGGGCUGCUAUGGGAGGCAGGGCUUGGCCACCGCCCCCAUCUCCUGACCCACCCGCCCCGCAGGACUCCCUGCUGGCCGCACCCAUCAUGCUGGACCUGGCGCUGCUGACCGAGCUGUGCCAGCGCGUGAGCUUCUGCACUGACGUGGACCCCGAGCCGCAGACCUUCCACCCCGUGCUGUCCCUGCUCAGCUUCCUCUUCAAGGCGCCACUGGUGCCGCCUGGCAGCCCGGUGGUCAAUGCGCUUUUCCGCCAGCGCAGCUGCAUCGAGAACAUCCUCAGGGCUUGCGUGGGGCUCCCGCCACAGAACCACAUGCUUCUGGAGCACAAGAUGGAGCGCCCAGGGCCCAGCCUCAAGCGAGUCGGACCUGUGGCUGCCACCUACCCUGUGUUGAACAACAAAGGACCAGUACCCGCUGCCACCAAUGGCUGCACCGGUGAUGCCAAUGGGCAUCCACAAGUGGAGGAGCCCCCGAUGCCCACUACCUGAGGCCCUGGUCACACAGUUUCCCGGCUCUUCCUCCCUGCUGCCCCUCAGGACCCUACCUUGAAGGCCCCCACAAAGACAAUAAAGGUGCUGCCACUC